AACGAACGCUGGCGGCAUGCCUAACACAUGCAAGUCGAACGAGACCUUCGGGUCUAGUGGCGCACGGGUGCGUAACGCGUGGGAACCUGCCCUUAGGUUCGGAAUAACUCACCGAAAGGGGUGCUAAUACCGGAUAAUGUCUUCGGACCAAAGAUUUAUCGCCUUUGGAUGGGCCCGCGUUGGAUUAGCUAGUUGGUAGGGUAAAAGCCUACCAAGGCGACGAUCCAUAGCUGGUCUGAGAGGAUGAUCAGCCACACUGGGACUGAGACACGGCCCAGACUCCUACGGGAGGCAGCAGUGGGGAAUAUUGGACAAUGGGCGAAAGCCUGAUCCAGCAAUGCCGCGUGAGUGAUGAAGGCCUUAGGGUUGUAAAGCUCUUUUACCCGGGAUGAUAAUGACGGUACCGGGAGAAGAAGCUCCGGCUAACUCCGUG
RNAcentral lists this ribosomal RNA (433 nucleotides) under uncultured bacterium. RNAcentral describes it as "partial 16S ribosomal RNA". It matches the Rfam family "Bacterial small subunit ribosomal RNA", at positions 29 to 507 of the family's 1533-position model. The record is from RNAcentral.